This 601-nucleotide ribosomal RNA is filed under the name uncultured bacterium. RNAcentral describes it as "bacterial SSU rRNA". It matches the Rfam family "Bacterial small subunit ribosomal RNA", at positions 722 to 1328 of the family's 1533-position model. The record is from RNAcentral.
CAGCGCACGAGGCCUUUACUGACGCUAAAGCUCGAAGGUGCGGGUAUCGAACAGGAUUAGAUACCCUGGUAGUCCGCACGGUAAACGAUGGAUGCCCGCUGUUUGCGAUACACUGUGAGCGGCCAAGCGAAAGCGUUAAGCAUCCCACCUGGGGAGUACGCCGGCAACGGUGAAACUCAAAGGAAUUGACGGGGGCCCGCACAAGCGGAGGAACAUGUGGUUUAAUUCGAUGAUACGCGAGGAACCUUACCCGGGCUUGAACUGCCGGCGAACGAUACAGAGAUGUUGAGGCCCUUCGGGGCGCCGGCGGAGGUGCUGCAUGGUUGUCGUCAGCUCGUGCCGUGAGGUGUCGGCUUAAGUGCCAUAACGAGCGCAACCCCUCUCCGUAGUUGCCAUCGGGUGAUGCCGGGCACUCUGCGGACACUGCCACCGUAAGGUGUGAGGAAGGUGGGGAUGACGUCAAAUCAGCACGGCCCUUACGUCCGGGGCUACACACGUGGACAAUGGGUGGUACAGAGGGCAGGCGUCCGGCAACGUCCGUCUAAUCCCGAAAGCCAUCCUCAGUUCGGACUGGGGUCUGCAACCCGACCCCACGAAGCGG